AAGUCGUAACAAGGUUUCCGUAGGUGAACCUGCGGAAGGAUCAUUACAUUCAGUAGCCUAGCUACUUGUUUAUACCCUUGUUUUUUUGCGUACCUAUCGUUUCCUCGGCGGGGCUUGCUCGCCGAUUGGACAAAAUCUAUAACCUUUUUAAAUCUUCAAUCAGCGUCUGAAUUAUACAUAAUAAUUACAACUUUCAACAACGGAUCUCUUGGUUCUG
RNAcentral lists this unclassified non-coding RNA (217 nucleotides) under air metagenome. Its description in RNAcentral is "partial contains small subunit ribosomal RNA, internal transcribed spacer 1, and 5.8S ribosomal RNA". The stretch from base 1 to 46 matches the Rfam family "Eukaryotic small subunit ribosomal RNA", at positions 1786 to 1831 of the family's 1831-position model. The record is from RNAcentral.